RNAcentral lists this ribosomal RNA (310 nucleotides) under uncultured Polaribacter sp. RNAcentral's name for it is "bacterial SSU rRNA". It matches the Rfam family "Bacterial small subunit ribosomal RNA", at positions 28 to 334 of the family's 1533-position model. Lineage: Bacteria; Pseudomonadati; Bacteroidota; Flavobacteriia; Flavobacteriales; Flavobacteriaceae. The record is from RNAcentral.
GAUGAACGCUAGCGGCAGGCUUAACACAUGCAAGUCGGAGGGGUAACAUUGUGCUUGCACAGAUGACGACCGGCGCGACGGGUGCGUAACGCGUAUAGAACCUACCUUUUACAGAGGGAUAGCCUUUAGAAAUGAAGUAUUAAUACCUCAUGGUACUGAGUUUUGGCAUCAAGACUUAAUUAAAGAUUUAUCGGUAAAAGAUGGCUAUGCGUCCUAUUAGCUAGAUGGUAAGGUAACGGCUUACCAUGGCAACGAUAGAUAGGGGUCCUGAGAGGGAGACCCCCCACACUGGUACUGAGACACGGACCAG